RNAcentral lists this ribosomal RNA (830 nucleotides) under uncultured organism. RNAcentral describes it as "bacterial SSU rRNA". It matches the Rfam family "Bacterial small subunit ribosomal RNA", at positions 583 to 1416 of the family's 1533-position model. The record is from RNAcentral.
GUAAGUCAGAGGUGAAAGUCGGUUGCUUAACGAUCGAAUUGCCUUUGAAACUGUCAGACUUGAGUAUGGAUGUGGUAGGCGGAAUGUGUAGUGUAGCGGUGAAAUGCAUAGAUAUUACACAGAACUCCAAUUGCGAAAGCAGCUUACCAAACCAGCACUGACGCUGAAGCACGAAAGCGUGGGUAGCGAACAGGAUUAGAUACCCUGGUAGUCCACGCAGUAAACGAUGCUCACUCGCUGUUGGCAAUACACCGUCAGCGGCUAAGGGAAACCGAUAAGUGAGCCACCUGGGGAGUACGAUCGCAAGAUUGAAACUCAAAGGAAUUGACGGGGGCCCGCACAAGCGGUGGAACAUGUGGUUUAAUUCGAUGAUACGCGAGGAACCUUACCUGGGCUUAAAUGUGAAGUGCAUUGUUUGGAAACAGACAUUUCCUUCGGGACUCUUUACAAGGUGCUGCAUGGUUGUCGUCAGCUCGUGCCGUGAGGUGUCGGGUUAAGUCCCAUAACGAGCGCAACCCCUAUUGUUAGUUACCAGCGCGUCAAGGCGGGGACUCUAACGAGACUGCCGGUGUAAACCGCGAGGAAGGUGGGGAUGACGUCAAAUCAGCACGGCCCUUAUGUCCAGGGCUACACACGUGUUACAAUGGUCGGUACAGAGGGCAGCUAGGCAGCGAUGUCAAGCGAAUCUCGAAAGCCGAUCCCAGUUCGGAUUGGAGUCUGCAACCCGACUCCAUGAAGGUGGAAUCGCUAGUAAUCGCGCAUCAGCCAUGGCGCGGUGAAUACGUUCCCGGGCCUUGUACACACCGCCCGUCAAGCCAUGAAGUCUGGGG